ACGAAGUUGGCCCAUUAUUAAUUCUGUUUUCGUGUGCCCCGCUCAGCUAAUGUUCCAGGCUUAUUAUUGGGAAAUUUUGUAAUGACUGUUAAUAUUGCGACACGGCAGCGCAGCACGCGAUGCGACCGCGGACACAGCUGUCAUGCAUUUAUCCUCGCCGCUAUUGCCACAGAUUAUAUACUUGAUGGGGUGUGACGUUCUACUGUACUUAUGGAUACUGCUAUACCAGUUACCAGGAGAGCUGCAGAUGAUGGCGAUGACGGCCACACCCAGUUGACGUAAGUUAUUGAUAAAAAAUUACUGAGGAUUU
Long non-coding RNA from Plodia interpunctella (Indianmeal moth), 310 nucleotides. RefSeq lists it as uncharacterized. The transcript is spliced from 3 exons. The record is from RefSeq and is a predicted model, not a curated record. Lineage: Eukaryota; Metazoa; Arthropoda; Insecta; Lepidoptera; Pyralidae.